Molecule: transfer RNA, 72 nt
Filed under: Dicrostonyx torquatus (Arctic lemming)
Lineage: Eukaryota; Metazoa; Chordata; Mammalia; Rodentia; Cricetidae
Also listed under: 2 other names
Description: tRNA-Gln
Rfam family: tRNA
About the family: Transfer RNA (tRNA) molecules are approximately 80 nucleotides in length.
Source: RNAcentral
UAGAAUGAGGUGUGAUUGGUAGCACGGAGAAUUUUGAAUUCUCAGGCAUAGGUUCGAUUCCUGUUGUUCUAG